Molecule: ribosomal RNA, 274 nt
Filed under: uncultured bacterium
Lineage: Bacteria
Description: partial 16S ribosomal RNA
Rfam family: Bacterial small subunit ribosomal RNA
Source: RNAcentral
AGACGGAGGGGGCUAGCGUUGUUCGGAAUUACUGGGCGUAAAGGGCACGUAGGCGGCUUGUCUAGUCAGGCGUGAAAGCCCCGGGCUUAACCCGGGAAUUGCGCUUGAUACUGGCGAGCUAGAGUUCGGGAGAGGACAGUGGAAUUCUCAGUGUAGAGGUGAAAUUCGUAGAUAUUGGGAAGAACACCGGUGGCGAAGGCGGCUACCUGGACCGGUACUGACGCUAAGGUGCGAAAGCGCGGGGAGCAAACAGGAUUAGAUACCCCAGUAGUCC